UCCUUCGCUAAUGGAGAACAGUGGAAGAUUGUCCGACGCUUCACCCUGACUGCUCUCCGGGACUUUGGGAUGGGAAAACGGAGGAUCGAGGAACGAAUCCUGGAGGAGGCUGGCUUCCUGCUCUAGGAAUUCCACAAGACCAAGGGUGCACCCAUCAACCCCACUUUCUUCCUGAGCUGCGCUGUCUGCAAUGUCAUCAGUUCCAGAGUCUUUGGAAGCCGCUUUGACUACGAGGACGGGCAGUUCCGGAAGCUGCUGCAGAUGAUCCACUGGAACUUAUCUGCUAUUAACUCACCAUUGGCACAGGCUGAAGCUGCCUCCCCACCUCCCACUUCAUUCUCCGCUCAGUGCUGGCAGGAAAGGAGAAAGUGU
Molecule: long non-coding RNA, 372 nt
Organism: Erinaceus europaeus (western European hedgehog)
Lineage: Eukaryota; Metazoa; Chordata; Mammalia; Eulipotyphla; Erinaceidae
Exons: 3
Source: RefSeq, a predicted model, not a curated record